CCAUUUACAUGUCUGCCCAACCACCACACAUUUCCAAGGUUAUGUUAUGCCUACGCACUAGCUCUUUACACUUAUCAAUAAUACUCCAAAUUCCAAAAUACAAACACUUGGGUUAAAAGAAUUUGAAAAACAUAGAGACUGCAAACACAAACAGAUGUCAGUUCUCACAUGCUCGAUCUCUAUUAUUACAUUAUUAUGUUGCAUGCAUUAAAAUUUUAAAACUUUGUCCUAAUUAUUCUUUAUAAUAAACAAAGUAAAGCCAUUCUUAAAUUCUAUGGGGCUCUAUAAAUUCCCCUACGAACGGAUAAGGCUUUGGUUCCUUGCCUACUUUAAACAAACAAGACCAGCUCACAUAAGCACAGUCACAUACUUUCUCUUAAGAAGCAAAAAAAAAAAAAAAAAAAAUCCCAUAGGCAUUAGUAGCUGCUGAGAGAGUCUGUGCAUGUCCACACAACCUUCAAAGUUUCUUUUGUUUUGCCAGUGGCGAUCUACGGGAGUUACCUGUUUCAUCUUCAGGUUGUAUUGCUCUUAUCAAAUACUAUAGCAACCUCAAAUGCGAACAUAGAAGGUACAGAUUUAUUUUUAUUUCAUUUUCCCAUCUGCUAAAAUUGAUUACUAUACAAUAUUCAUAGCAUAAAUCACAAACAAAACACAGCCAAUAAAAAUAUUCAUCACUAAUGCGGACAUAUGUCUGAACCCUCUCUCCCUUUAAUCAAUUUUCCCACCACCAGCUUCAUAACAACAGUUCUAACUCAUGAAAAUUUGGCCAGAAAAAUAAAAAAGGCAGCAGUGGCCACUUCAAUUUCACAUACCCAUUCGCAUAAAACUCACAAAUUAAUGGAUUUAUAUGCCUUAUUACACUAUGAAUAGCACAAAUCACAAACAAAACACAGCCAAUAACAAUUUUUAACUCAUGCAGACAUAUGUCCGAACCCAUACUCCUUUUAAUCAUUUUUUCCACCACCAUCUCAUAACAACAGUUCAAACACAGCCAAGGAAAAUUUCUGAAAUUUCAAUCUCUAAAAACAAGAAAAUCGAAGCUAAACAAUAAAUUUGAGACUUUGAUAAAGUCACUGACCUCUUUCAAGCUCCAACACCAGUGGCAGAACCUGGCUGUGGUCGAUAUUCGCUGGUCGGCAGUCUUUUCCGACUAUCCAAGCCUGUCUCGCUCAUGGGUUAUUUGAAAUUUCUGAAGAUUUGCCUUUGGUUACAGCGGCUUGGAACGGGUAGUUAAGUGGAAUUGGUUCGACUUCUUGCGGUGAGAGCGGAACAUUUUGCUUGGUCUUGUGUAAGGAAAGGGAGAAUUAUGUCUUUUACGCAAUAGAUAUUAAGUGGAAUCGGCAAAUACAAUUAUACGGGUAUUCAUACUAACGUUAUACAAUUUCGAAGCAUUUUUUGCUUCAAGUUUUGUUUUUGG
This 1417-nucleotide long non-coding RNA is filed under the name Citrus maxima (pomelo). Its description in RNAcentral is "long non-coding RNA (CMAX_LNC000167)". Lineage: Eukaryota; Viridiplantae; Streptophyta; Magnoliopsida; Sapindales; Rutaceae. The record is from RNAcentral.